UACGAGGGGGGCAAGCGUUGUUCGGAUUUACUGGGCGUAAAGGGCGCGUAGGCGGCCACCGCAAGUCGACUGUGAAAUCUCCGGGCUUAACCCGGAAAGGUCAGCCGAUACUGCGGGGCUAGAGUGCAGAAGGGGCAACUGGAAUUCUCGGUGUAGCGGUGAAAUGCGUAGAUAUCGAGAGGAACACCUGCGGCGAAGGCGGGUUGCUGGGCUGACACUGACGCUGAGGCGCGAAAGCUAGGGGAGCGAACGGG
This 254-nucleotide ribosomal RNA is filed under the name uncultured bacterium. RNAcentral describes it as "partial 16S ribosomal RNA". It matches the Rfam family "Bacterial small subunit ribosomal RNA", at positions 524 to 776 of the family's 1533-position model. The record is from RNAcentral.